Molecule: ribosomal RNA, 301 nt
Filed under: uncultured bacterium
Lineage: Bacteria
Description: partial 16S ribosomal RNA
Rfam family: Bacterial small subunit ribosomal RNA
Source: RNAcentral
CAGUCGCCGCGGGAAUACGUAGGGGGCAAGCGUUAUCCGGAAUUACUGGGUGUAAAGGGAGCGUAGACGGUUAAACAAGUCUGAAGUGAAAUGCCGGGGCUCAACCCCGGAGCUGCUUUGGGAACUGUAGAACUGGAGUGUCGGAGGGGUAAGCGGAAUUCCCAGUGUAGCGGUGAAAUGCGUAGAUAUUGGGAGGAACACCGGCGGCGAAGGCGGCUUACUGGACGACAACUGACGUUGAGGCUCGAAGGCGUGGGUAGCAAACAGGAUUAGAUACCCCAGUAGUCCCUGUCUCUUAUAC